GUGAGUAUUGGUUUUGAAAGCUGUUUAAAUGGUUAUUAUUGUUUAAAACCGUGUCUAAUGUGUGUAAAUGUUGAGAUGUCAACUUUCUAAGUUGUUGUUUAUUUGUGAGGCCGUAGAGAAACGAGAGUUGCAACAGUCCCAAUAUCUAAAUCAAAGCCUGUGAAAAUGGUCCUCCUGCCCUUCAGCCUCUUCAGCCUUCCUGGACAGUGACCUCUUCUGUACAGGCUCAUACUAAAGACAUAGAGGAGCCUGUUUACAGAUCACUACAUAGAUGACAUGUGGGAGUUCCCUGUGGCUGAAUGUGAUGCUGAACUAGGUAGAAGAGUUCCCAAGUGAGGCUGAUCCCAGAAUGUGAUGCUGAACUAGGUAGAAGAGUUCCCAAGUGAGGCUGAUCCCAGAAUGUGAUGCUGAACUAGGUAGAAGUGUUCCCAAGUGAGGCUGAUCCCAGAAUGUGAUGCUGAACUAGGUAGAAGUGUUCCCAAGUGAGGCUGAUCCCAGAAUGUGAUGCUGAACUAGGUAGAAGUGUUCCCAAGUGAGGCUGAUCCCAGAAUGUGAUGCUGAACUAGGUAGAAGUGUUCCCAAGUGAGGCUGAUCCCAGAAUGUGAUGCUGAACUAGGUAGAAGUGUUCCCAAGUGAGGCUGAUCCCAGAAUGUGAUGCUGAACUAGGUAGAAGUGUUCCCAAGUGAGGCUGAUCCCAGAAUGUGAUGCUGAACUAGGUAGAAGUGUUCCCAAGUGAGGCUGAUCCCAGAAUGUGAUGCUGAACUAGGUAGAAGUGUUCCCAAGUGAGGCUGAUCCCAGAAUGUGAUGCUGAACUAGGUAGAAGUGUUCCCAAGUGUGGCUGAUCCCAGAAUGUGAUGC
Oncorhynchus keta (chum salmon) is the source of this 858-nucleotide long non-coding RNA. RefSeq lists it as uncharacterized. The record is from RefSeq and is a predicted model, not a curated record. The transcript is spliced from 6 exons. NCBI's taxonomy places the organism in Eukaryota, Metazoa, Chordata, Actinopteri, Salmoniformes, Salmonidae.